CCAACAUAAACAACAGAAGGAAGGCCGGCACUGCAGGCACCCAGAUACCUUCCUUCUUUCAAGUUAAAAGGAAUGCCUUCAAGGGGAAAAAAGUGUGAAUUGAACAUACACAAGGAUAUGACAAAUCUCUACUGCUAUGUUGAUCAGUGACAGGCUCACUCUUUAAUAAAACGUCCUAGUUGGCAUGUGGAUCCCAGGGAAAGAGCUUCAAAACUGCCUCUGGGGCAGAAGAGGAGCCUUCCUCUAUGCAGUGUCCAAGAAAGAAGUUCCAAGCAUGAUUUCAAACCUUGAAAUUCUCAAACCUGUAGACU
This is a long non-coding RNA of Sceloporus undulatus (fence lizard), 311 nucleotides long. RefSeq lists it as uncharacterized. The record is from RefSeq and is a predicted model, not a curated record. The transcript is spliced from 3 exons. Lineage: Eukaryota; Metazoa; Chordata; Lepidosauria; Squamata; Phrynosomatidae.